AUUCAGCUUUUGCGGUGGCUUCCUCCCAGGUCUUAUUUAUUUAGUCAAGGUGCCGGAUGUUUCAUUUAUAGUUAUCUAAAUCUUUUAUGUGGGCCCGCUGGUUUGCAGGAAAGUGGGUGGAAAAGGGGAUCCGGGCCAGAGCCCCAGGCAGGCAGAGGAGCUCUGAGGACGCAGGGGGGGCAGGGUGCCCGCUUUCUAGAGCAAACUUUCUCGUGUGCUGGGGAGGGACUGCUGCCUCUUUGUGCUCCCAUCUCGUCUGGAGAGAGCGGCUGGACACCCCUCUUCCUGCCCACAGUCCACACCCAGGGGGCUUGGGAGAAGAAUAUCUUUCACUACAGAGCUGGAAAAUGACUUCAUUACUCAAAUGCAUGAACUUUUAUUUACAAAGAACAUCUUGUUUUCAGCCUAAAGAGGUGCAUUGUGAGGGACCUGAAACAAGGCUUGCAGUGUAAGAGCCUGUCAAAUAUACUGCCCACAGCCCCGACCUCUUCCUCUUGGCCUGCAGUCUCAAGCCUACAGCAUCUGUCUGAAUCCUGAAAGCUUUCCAAGGCUUUGGGAGUAAGUAGCUGGGCUACAGUUGGACCAGGGGCACUUCAGCAGACUGGCUGUGGCCGCCAAGGCUGAGAGGUACCUGUGUUGACAUUGGCUGCCUGCUGGGGCUUUAAGCAUUUCCCUGAGACCCAUGCAUAGUGGAAACAUGCAGUGAGACACCAGACAAUGACACCCAGGGAAGUUCCUAGGUGUCUGAAAUCACAAUCAUGCAAGAAAGGGUUUUCCUACAACCUAAGCGUUAUCCAUUUCCUAAGUCAUGUUAUCCAAGCCACGAUUAUUUUGCACUUUUGUGCCUAUCAUGUGCUAGAUACUUGGCCAAUGUUAUUGUGAAUCUCACAGUAUCCCUGCUGGGGGCAUGGGGGUGGGGCUAUUAUUUUUUCUUUAUAUAAUAGAAGAAAGAGAGGUUCUGAGAGAGUAGGAUAUUUGCCCAAGGUCGCACACCUAGUAGAAAGCUGAGGUGAGGUUUGAAUCUGGGCCUCACCGAUUCCAAACUUUCUUAACAUCUAUACCACGUUGAGACUCGCAAAAUAAAGAUGCACAAAUUCAGAGGCAGGAGAGAGAGAGAGGCACUCCUGUUUGUUGAGUGCCUCCUGUGUGGCAAAAAUUUUGCAUGGACUACUCAUUCAAUCUUGUCUUUGUGAUAAUCCUGCAAAGUGGGUAUUGGAAGACACCCUUGGCAAUGGGGAAAUAACAGAAGUAUUAGCACAGCUCAGGUAAAAGUGAUGGGAAGGUCCUUGAGAUUGAAUGAGAAAAUGUGUUAUGAAAAUGCCAAAGCUGGAAGAAGCGAAGAGAGUUCUUUGGGAUUCCAUGCUGUUUGUGGUAUUUUCACUUGAAGAUAUAAAUAUAGUCUGUAAGGAACCAUUAAGCUACAUUGUGUUCAUCUUCUUCCACAUACAUUCUUCUACAUGGUAGGCUUACCUACUUAAUUAAGCCAAGGAACUUAAAAAUGUAUGGUUUGGUUGGUAUUUUUAGUGACUUAUAUUGGGUAAGAAGAUCACUAGAUCCUGAGAACAAUAAUGCUCAACUCUCCUGUCCCAUACUCCCUGUAAAAAGAACAUCAAAAAUACUGUUAAAUAGGGCUGGUGUUGGGGCUGGCGCCGUGGCUCACUUGGUUAAUUCUCCGCCUGCGGCACCGGCAUCCCAUAUGGGUGCAGGUUCUAGUCCUGGUUGCUCCUCUUCCAGUCCAGCUCUCUGCUGUGGCCCGGGAGGGCAGUGGAGGAUGGCCCAAGUGCUUGGGCCCCUGCACUUGCAUGGGAGACCAGGAAGAAGCACCUGGCUCCUGGCUUUGGAUCAGCACAGUGCCAGCCCUGGCGGCCAAUUGGGGAGUUGGGGAGUGGUGAACCAAAGGAAGACCUUUCUCUCUCUGUCUCUCUCUCACUGUGUAUAACUCUACCUGUCAAAUAAAAAAAAAAAUGACCACAUGGUGUGUGCCAUGUCCUAAGACCUAAUCAUGAUUAAAAAAAAAAUAGGGCUGGUGUUGUGGCACAGCAGGUAAAGCCACCUGCAAUGCAAGCAUCCUGUAUGGGAGCCAGUUUGUGUCCCAGCUGUUGCUGCUAAUGGCCUGGGAAAGGCAGCAGCAGAUGGCCCAAGUGUUCCUCAUGUGGGAGACCGAGAUGAAGCUCUUUACUCCUGGCUUUGGCCUGGCUCAGCCCUGACCUUUGGGGCCAUUUAGGGAGCGAACCAGCAGAUGGAAGAUCUCUCUGUCUUUCUCUCUUUCUCUGCAACCCCUUCAAAUAAAUAAAUAAAUAAAUAAAUAAAUAAAUAAAUCUGUAAGAAAUACCAUGAAAUAUAUUUAUUAUUCUGACUUCAGGUACAGAAUGCUUCGGCACACUCAUACUUAUUGUAUUUGUUUUCUGAAGGAUUAUAUCCUGUUUUUUAGCUGUCAAUCAGAUGCUGUUUACUGAACUGGUACCUCUUCUCCCUGCCAGCAGGUCAGGUUCUGUAAGAAUGCCUGAGCAAAGAGGGUGUUUGUUUAAGAUCUGAGAACGUUUAAUUUUUGAUUAAGCAUAUGCUUAAUUUUUCCCCUUCAUCUACCUCCUGCAGGUACAAUUGCUAGUUUUGAGGCAAUAGGGCACGAUCCACAGGAGCUUGGGUUUUUGUAUGAAAUAAGACAGGGUUCAAAUCCUGGCCCUGUUUACAGCAGUUCUGGGGGAUGGACACGCAAUUUCUUCUCUCUGAACGUCAGUUUCCUCAUCAUAAAAUGGGGAUGAUGCUUCCUCUGUCACUGUUCCUAUGAAUAGUAAAUGAAAUCAUGUAAACAAAGCACUCCCACAGUGCUCAAUGAAUGCUGUUGAAUUUUGCUAUUUCCAAGUCCUUACUGGGAACAGAAUGGUUCUUUAAAGAGGAAAAGCAGCCGUGUUUAUUUAUCCUGUGACUCAGGUAACCUCCCGUAUGCUGAGAAUAGCCACUCCUGUUUCUGACAGCCCCUGGGCCUGUCCCUGAAUUAACCGUGAACACAGCAGUCAUGGAUCAUAGAACAACAAGGCAGGCAGGCGAGGAGAGGCCAGUGAUGACUAUCUUAGAGCAAAUUAGAAGGCAGUAGAACAAAGAGAAUCAUCUCUCACCGAAGGGCUACUCCCAGAACAUCAAAGGCCUGAGUUAGGAGGAUUUUAUUUCUGUUAAAAGUACAGUUGGGAAAAAAAAAAAAGUACAGUUGGGGAGCAUUUUCAGCGUGGCUGCUUUCUGAUAAUACCCCUCCCUUUUUCUCUCCCCUGGGAUUGAGGACAGGGGGUCACCAAGGACCUUCCUGGCUGUUAUCUCCUUUGGGACUUAGACCUACUUGUGGAUCAAGAGAGUCCUGCUGGUCACAUGGACGAAAGCAUGGGUGUUCAGAGAGGUGGCUUGGCUGAGGACACAAAGCCAAUGGAUACAAAAUGAGGGCCCCACACCUUCCAACCUCCACACCGACGGUUUCCCAACUCGACCGAGCUAUUUUUGGUUUUGGCAGCAGCAGAUCUGGUGGUUUUGAGGCUUUAUCAAAAGAAGGUUCUGGAAUUCCCUUGUGAGUCCCCCAGUGCAGUUAUCAGCAGAUAACCAUCAGGGCCACCGACUAACUUCAGCACUUGGCUGUUGGGCCUGUCCUCAGCAUCCAUGGAUCUAGCGCGGGUGUUGUUAACACAUCCCAUGUGCCCUUCUGGAAAUAGAAAGUGGCGUCAGAUGUUAUUUUGGAAUCGUAGGCGCUAAUCUUGACAUAACUAGACAGAGGAUUGUUGUGGGGACUGUGUACUAGUGACAAAAAUUUUAUAAUGAGAUUGGUCAGAGAAACAAGCUCAAGCUGACAUCUCCCCUACUUUGAAGUCUCUAACUGGUACUCCAGUGACAGAAUAGAAAGCGGGAGAUGGUGUCUGGCUUCCUGCUGAUGCUGCUCUUCUCGCAGACUGAGAGAGUGCUUUUGGAGCCACCCUGCGGGUGGUCCGGGCUGUCUGAGGAGCAGCAGCAAGAGUGCUGGGAAGUGGACAGAGGCCUUUUACGACUUGUUCUGCCUCGUGUUCAUUUUCUCGGGAUUUUGUUCAGGAUGUGUAUGAAGACUUGCCUGGAUCUCUUCACAUGGUGGAGGCAGAGUCCAAGAACAAAAGGGAAAACAAAGGAAGAUGGCCCAAGUCCUUGGGCCCCUGCACCUCCAUGGGAGACCCGGAAGAAGCUUCAAGCUCCUGGCUUUGGAUUGGUGCAGCUCUGGCCAUUGCAGCCAUUUGGGGAGUGAACCAGCGAUGGAAGACCUCUCUCUCUCUCUCUCUCUCUCUCUCUCUCUCUCUCUCUCUCCCUCCCUGCCUCUGCCUCUGCCUCUCUGUAACUCUGUCUUUCAAAUAAAUAAAUAAAUCUUUAAAAAAAAAGUUGAUGUGGAUGAAUUGCCACUGUGGACACUUCAACAUUUUCUUAUUCUUUCUUAAAAUUGGUUAUCCAUUUGUAAACUAAUGAUUUCUUUGGGGAAUUUCUCCACAAACUUUUUCUGAUCUAUCAAUGACUUCACCAU
Non-coding RNA from Oryctolagus cuniculus (rabbit), 4522 nucleotides. The record is from RefSeq and is a predicted model, not a curated record. NCBI's taxonomy places the organism in Eukaryota, Metazoa, Chordata, Mammalia, Lagomorpha, Leporidae.